UUUUGGACAAUGGGCGAAAGCCUGAUCCAGCAAUGCCGCGUGCAGGAAGAAGGCCUUCGGGUUGUAAACUGCUUUUGUACGGACCGAAAAGGUCUGCCCUAAUACGGCGGGCCCAUGACGGUACCGUAAGAAUAAGCACCGGCUAACUACGUGCCAGCAGCCGCGGUAAUACGUAGGGUGCGAGCGUUAAUCGGAAUUACUGGGCGUAAAGCGUGCGCAGGCGGUGAUGUAAGACAGUUGUGAAAUCCCCGGGCUCAACCUGGGAAUUGCAUCUGUGACUGCAUCGCUAGAGUACGGUAGAGGGGGAUGGAAUUCCGCGUGUAGCAGUGAAAUGCGUAGAUAUGCGGAGGAACACCGAUGGCGAAGGCAAUCCCCUGGACCUGUACUGACGCUCAUGCACGAAA
This 404-nucleotide ribosomal RNA is filed under the name uncultured bacterium. RNAcentral describes it as "bacterial SSU rRNA". It matches the Rfam family "Bacterial small subunit ribosomal RNA", at positions 362 to 758 of the family's 1533-position model. The record is from RNAcentral.